UUAUAAGAGACAGCAGCAGCCGCGGUAAAACAGAGGGUGCGAGCGUUAAUCGGAUUUACUGGGCGUAAAGCGUGCGUAGGCGGCUUCUUUAGUCGGAUGUGAAAUCCCUGAGCUUAACUUAGGAAUUGCAUUCGAUACUGGGAAGCUAGAGUAUGGGAGAGGAUGGUAGAAUUCCAGGUGUAGCGGUGAAAUGCGUAGAGAUCUGGAGGAAUACCGAUGGCGAAGGCAGCCAUCUGGCCUAAUACUGACGCUGAGGUACGAAAGCAUGGGGAGCAAACAGGAUUAGAUACCCCAGUAGUCCCUGUCUCUUAUAC
This 314-nucleotide ribosomal RNA is filed under the name uncultured bacterium. RNAcentral's name for it is "partial 16S ribosomal RNA". It matches the Rfam family "Bacterial small subunit ribosomal RNA", at positions 499 to 807 of the family's 1533-position model. The record is from RNAcentral.